Molecule: long non-coding RNA, 334 nt
Filed under: Rattus norvegicus (Norway rat)
Lineage: Eukaryota; Metazoa; Chordata; Mammalia; Rodentia; Muridae
Description: long non-coding RNA NONRATT006935
Source: RNAcentral
ACAAAGACUAAACAGUAGUGGCACCAGUAGUGUAAGGUGUUGGGAGGGUUAAUUCAAGCAUGAGUACAGGGCUCAUACUUGACCCUUCAGUCACUUAACUGUUAGUGGCCCUUUAUUUGUUUCAGGGAAAGUUGGAAUCCUUUCAGAUUUAAUAAAGUUUGAUAUUAAAAUAUCUGCUUUUCACUUCUUAAAGCAGCUCUAACAACCCUUUCGAACUGUGAAAAAUUGCCAUUGUAGAAAAGUGGACUGAAAUCAUGAUGUAUUUUUUUCCUCUCUUUUAAACCCAGACCUCUGGCGCUGCCAGUUCCUCUUACCGUUUGUUAGCUUGGGUCUG